AUCGUUUUCACAGAUAAGCAUGUAUAUCACAUCCAUCGAUGCAAAAUGCUUAUUGAAAGUUCUGUGGACUUUAUUUGCUGAUCCAUUCAGUCCUGACAUCAAGGUCAAUGUUUUAAAACUGACACACUUGGAACCAAAAGAAAAGUCACAUGACCGCUUGUUUACUUUUCUACUUAACAAAUUCAACAAUCUCCUUAUUACGCUUAACACAGAUAUUCAAGUAAGUAAUCAAAAUUGGGAUUCUUAAGUAUAAGCUGCAAGUCAUGAUGUAAUUGUUGAACCAAGAACACUGUAAGUCUCGUGAUCUUUUCCAUUAUUAUUUCAGAUUACUUGAUUAUUUUCAUGAAUUUUAUUGGCAGUAUUAAGGUAGAAACUUUCUUUUUGGGGUCAAAUCAAGUUAUACUAGAAAAGUUCUAAGGUGUAAGUACUAUAGAAAAUUUAAGUUUCAGAAAUCUUAUUCUUCCUUUUCUGGAAGGACUUAGCUUUGCAUUUAAGUCUGGGGUAUCCGUGUCAGCUUUUAUUCCUUUAUCACAUGCCCUCAUUUUCCUCUUUAACAGUCUCUAAGCCCAUGCACUGUGCAUUCAUGCAUGUAUAUGUGUAUGAAAUUAGCUGUUUUUUGACCAUCAUUUCCUUUAACCUUUCAAUUUCGUAAGGGGAAAGGUUUCUUUGUAUCUUACUCACUUUUGUGUGCCCAGCAGCUGUUCCAGAGAAAAGGGUACAAGGAAAGGAUUUUUGUUUUCCUUCUUUUCACGUCUAUCUCCAGCCCACAGAACAGCA
Molecule: long non-coding RNA, 777 nt
Filed under: Cavia porcellus (domestic guinea pig)
Lineage: Eukaryota; Metazoa; Chordata; Mammalia; Rodentia; Caviidae
Description: lncRNA (ENSCPOG00000039576.1)
Source: RNAcentral